CCUACGGGUGGCAGCAGUGAGGAAUAUUGGUCAAUGGACGAGAGUCUGAACCAGCCAAGUAGCGUGAAGGAUGACUGCCCUAUGUGUUGUAAACUUCUUUUAUAAAGGAAUAAAACGAGGCACGUGUGCCUUUUUGCAUGUACUUUAUGAAUAAGGAUCGGCUAACUCCGUGCCAGCCGCCGCGGUAAUACGGAGGAUCCGAGCGUUAUCCGGAUUUAUUGGGUUUAAAGGGAGCGUAGAUGGGUUGUUAAGUCAGUUGUGAAAGUUUGCGGCUCAACCGUAAAAUUGCAAUUGAUACUGGCAGUCUUGAGUACAGUUGAGGUAGGCGGAAUUCGUGGUGUAGCGGUGAAAUGCUUAGAUAUCAUGAAGAACUCCGAUCGCGAAGGCAAGUGUCCGGGGUGCAACUGACGCUGAGGCUCGAAAGUGCGGGUAUCAAACAGGAUUAGAUACCCUUGUAGUC
RNAcentral lists this ribosomal RNA (460 nucleotides) under uncultured bacterium. RNAcentral describes it as "partial 16S ribosomal RNA". It matches the Rfam family "Bacterial small subunit ribosomal RNA", at positions 338 to 795 of the family's 1533-position model. The record is from RNAcentral.